UAUUAGGUUGGUGCAAAAGUCAUUGUGGUUUUUGCUGUUGAAAGUAAUGACAGAAACCGCAAUGACUUUUGCACCAACCUAAUA
RNAcentral lists this microRNA precursor (84 nucleotides) under Papio anubis (olive baboon). RNAcentral's name for it is "mir-548 microRNA precursor family". It matches the Rfam family "mir-548 microRNA precursor family". The record is from Rfam by way of RNAcentral. Lineage: Eukaryota; Metazoa; Chordata; Mammalia; Primates; Cercopithecidae. RNAcentral also lists the same sequence under 1 other name.